CGUAGUAAUUCUAGGGCUAAUACAUGAGAAAGUCCUCUGGUGAGGUGUGUUUAUUAGAAUGAAAACCAUAUGCUUCGGCAUGAUAGUGAGUAAUAGUAACCUAUCGUAUCGCAUGCUUAAUGUAGCGAUGAGUCUUUCAAGUUUCUGCCCUAUCAGCUUUCGAUGGUAGUAUAUGGGCCUACCAUGGCAGUAACGGGUAA
RNAcentral lists this ribosomal RNA (200 nucleotides) under Blastocystis sp. subtype 1. RNAcentral's name for it is "partial 18S ribosomal RNA". It matches the Rfam family "Eukaryotic small subunit ribosomal RNA", at positions 148 to 362 of the family's 1831-position model. Lineage: Eukaryota; Bigyra; Opalinata; Blastocystidae. The record is from RNAcentral.